UGGGGAAUAUUGCACAAUGGGGGAAACCCUGAUGCAGCGACGCCGCGUGAGCGAAGAAGGCUUUCGAGUCGUAAAGCUCUGUCCUAUGAGAAGAUAAUGACGGUAUCAUAGGAGGAAGCCCUGGCUAAAUACGUGCCAGCAGCCGCGGUAAUACGUAUGGGGCGAGCGUUGUCCGGAAUUAUUGGGCGUAAAGGGUACGUAGGUGGUUUUUUAAGUCAGGUGUCAAAGCGUGGAGCUUAACUCCAUUAAGCACUUGAAACUGAAAGACUUGAGUGAAGGAGAGGAAAGUGGAAUUCCUAGUGUAGCGGUGGAAUGCGUAGAUAUUAGGAGGAAUACCGGUGGCGAAGGCGACUUUCUGGACUUUUACUGACGCUCAGGUACGAAAGCGUGGGGAGCAAACAGG
This 403-nucleotide ribosomal RNA is filed under the name Verrucomicrobiota bacterium. Its description in RNAcentral is "Verrucomicrobia bacterium partial 16S ribosomal RNA". It matches the Rfam family "Bacterial small subunit ribosomal RNA", at positions 355 to 776 of the family's 1533-position model. The record is from RNAcentral. Lineage: Bacteria; Pseudomonadati; Verrucomicrobiota.